GGCCUAAUAGUGUAGUGGUUAACAUACCUCUUUCGGGUAGUCCCCCCUUCCCUUUGCGAGGAAUUAGAGGUGAUCCCUGGUAGAGGUGAUCCCUGGUUCGAAUCCUGGUUAGGCCC
Schizosaccharomyces japonicus yFS275 is the source of this 116-nucleotide non-coding RNA. Lineage: Eukaryota; Fungi; Ascomycota; Schizosaccharomycetes; Schizosaccharomycetales; Schizosaccharomycetaceae. The record is from the annotation of a RefSeq genome assembly.